GUGCCGUAGCCUAGUGGUUAAGGCGAUACACUAUAAAUCUCUUGAGAUAUUUUCGCGCAGGUUCGCAUCCUGCCGACGACG
This 81-nucleotide transfer RNA is filed under the name Dreissena polymorpha. RNAcentral describes it as "tRNA-Tyr". It matches the Rfam family "tRNA". From Rfam's summary of the family: Transfer RNA (tRNA) molecules are approximately 80 nucleotides in length. Their secondary structure includes four short double-helical elements and three loops (D, anti-codon, and T loops). Further hydrogen bonds mediate the characteristic L-shaped molecular structure. tRNAs have two regions of fundamental functional importance: the anti-codon, which is responsible for specific mRNA codon recognition, and the 3' end, to which the tRNAs corresponding amino acid is attached (by aminoacyl-tRNA synthetases). tRNAs cope with the degeneracy of the genetic code in two manners: having more than one tRNA (with a specific anti-codon) for a particular amino acid; and 'wobble' base-pairing, i.e. permitting non-standard base-pairing at the 3rd anti-codon position. The record is from RNAcentral. Lineage: Eukaryota; Metazoa; Mollusca; Bivalvia; Myida; Dreissenidae.